GGGUGCCAACAGCAACUGCAGCUCUGGCCCAAGCCAGGUGUGGGCUGACCUAGCCAGGGAGCGGGGAAGUGAAAGGAAUGGGUCCCUUCCCACUCAGAGGGCGGAGCCCCCACUUCUGGUGAGAGAAAGCUGAGCAGAAUGGAUCUAAUCUGAUUCCUCCACCCAGAAGCCCUUAAAAUGCAGCUUUGUUUUAAGCCUUCUUGAAGAUUUGGGCUAGAUCUAGAAAAGAACCUCACCACGGAGGAUGUGCAAAGUACAACACGUGACCCCGGAGACGGAAGCUCUUCUCUACCUCCGUAAAGAUGAUCUCUGAUGAACAGACAUGAUCAUGCCUGGAGAACAGGGAUGGACAGUCCCGCUUCUGAAAGACCCUGUCUGGCUGAUGAUUCAUGGUGCGCCGGGCAGACCCCAGGCCAAGAGACCCCACCCACAGUACCUGAGUGCUCAGCUGGGAACCAGACCAGACCUCAAAACAGGUUUGCAGAAUUAAGAUGAGGAGCUGAGCUCAACACAGCCUCCGCAGCUCCCCAGGGCGGGCCUGAGCCGAGGGAGAGCCCAUGGCCAUCAGGGUGCUGGAAUGCAUGUCACACUGCAUUACGUGCAUUACGAUCCACGCUGCAAUGACAGCCCAGAGCGUGGAGAACCCAGAGAGGGUGGGGAGAUGGAAUCCCGGCGAGCCAGCGCUGGCAGGGACCACGGGGAGCAGCUGGUCCAGCCGCCGGUUUUCCAAGAGAGAAGACUAAGAAGUUCCCAAGGUUACCACCCAACCCUGCCAACUUUCGCACCCCGCAAGGAGCAAGACCCCGCCCGCUCACCACCUGCCUGUGCAGCCAACGGGCCUCGCUGAGCUGCCCUGGGCCGCUCCCUCCAUUCACACAGUUGGCCCUCCCUCUCCCUGCCUCCCUUCGCCUACCCCACGAACUACUUCAUCCCUCUGGGCCGGCACUGUAGAAGCCCCAUUGUUCACAUCGACCUCCCAAUUAUCUCCUCUUUCCCUCUCCCUCUGCUCCUGCCCAGACCAGCCCCCCAGCAUUGACCUGGAUGCCUGCCACAGCCUCCUCCCUGGUCUCCGGCCUCCCACCUCUGCUCCUCGGUCUCCUCUACCCAGCCAGUAACUGCAGAGAGCACUAAAGCACAGUCCUGGCAUCUCACCCCCUUAACCCUGGCCACGGCUUCCCAGUGCCUCCAAGAUAAAGCACCAACACCUGAGGACAGCAGCUUGUUUUGAGAGUCCCCUCCAUUGAAACACGCACAUCUAAUUUGUCCUUCAGUUCGCUGGACUCCACGCUGAACGUGCCAUGCUCCAUUGCCCCGUGAGUAACUCCAUGCUCUUGCCGGUUUCACACGGCCUCUCAGAGCUGGAGCCUUUGUUCAGGAGCCCUGGGCAGCUUUCAGGAAGCUCUUGGGCUCAUCAGCUUCCUCUGGCUGAAGCCGCCCCAGUGGAAUCAUGGGGAUUUCUUACUUUGAAGGUGGGGCCACCCGCAGACUGUAACCGGCUGGUUCAAGAUCAAGGACUUCCCCAGGCCACCUGCCUCAGAGGCAAGAAAGGCUCAGCUGAGUCCCAGACACUCCUCGCUGUGGCCCCUCCUUCCUCCCUGCUGGGCAGGCCCCCCUCAAUUCUGUUUGCCAGCAGGGCCUAGUAACACUGAAAGACGAAAAGGGAAAUAAAAUAAACACAAUUAAUAGGCUAAAGGUUACUGAAUAAAGUGGCAGCAGUAAAUAAA
Homo sapiens (human) is the source of this 1724-nucleotide long non-coding RNA. Ensembl annotates it as long intergenic non-protein coding RNA 885. The record is from Ensembl. NCBI's taxonomy places the organism in Eukaryota, Metazoa, Chordata, Mammalia, Primates, Hominidae.